RNAcentral lists this unclassified non-coding RNA (213 nucleotides) under Hevea brasiliensis (rubber tree). Lineage: Eukaryota; Viridiplantae; Streptophyta; Magnoliopsida; Malpighiales; Euphorbiaceae. The record is from RNAcentral.
UGAACCUGGAUUCACUUUCAAUCUGCACACAGUAUAGGCAAUAAUUUAAGAAAGAUAUCGUAUAUAUUCUAUUCUAGAAUAUUUAACCACUAUAAAAAGAUUCUAGUAAUAAUGACAAACUUCAAUAUUGGGCUUCCACUCAAGACUUCACCCGUUCUAGAGACUACUACUUGAUUUUUAAGACAAGGAAAAUGAGGAAGAAGAAGAAGAAGA